UGCCAGGGACGGAAUGCCGGCAGCAGAGCAGCCUGGGGCCAUCCGUAUAAUCCGUGAUACCAGUGAAGUGAGGACGGUGCGGCAAGGCCAGGCCAGGCGAAGGAGUCUCGGAGGGGUGUUGGCGUACAUUCCAUGCGGAUCCUGGUUGAAACUUUGUCGCGGUGGAAUGCCAGGGACGGAAUGCCGGCAGCAGAGCAGCCUGGGGCCAUCCGUAUAAUCCGUGAUACCAGUGAAGUGAGGACGGUGCGGCAAGGCCAGGCCAGGCGAAGGAGUCUCGGAGGGGUGUUGGCGUACAUUCCAUGCGGAUCCUGGUUGAAACUUUGUCGCGCCAGGUGGAAUGCCAGGGACGGAAUGCCGACAGUAGAGCAGCCUGGGGCCAUCCGUAUAAUCCGUGAUACGAGUGAAAUGAGGACGGUGCGGCAAGGUCAGGCCAGGUGAAGUAGUCUC
This is a long non-coding RNA of Physeter macrocephalus (sperm whale), 447 nucleotides long. RefSeq lists it as uncharacterized. Lineage: Eukaryota; Metazoa; Chordata; Mammalia; Artiodactyla; Physeteridae. The record is from RefSeq and is a predicted model, not a curated record. The transcript has 3 exons.